UCGACGAAGCCCUUAUUCUGAUUUCUUCGGAAUGAAAAAUUUGGUGACUGAGUGGCGGACGGGUGAGUAACGCGUGGGUAACCUGCCUCAUACAGGGGGAUAACAGUUAGAAAUGACUGCUAAUACCGCAUAAGACCACAGCACCGCAUGGUGCAGGGGUAAAAACUCCGGUGGUAUGAGAUGGACCCGCGUCUGAUUAGGUAGUUGGUGGGGUAACGGCCUACCAAGCCGACGAUCAGUAGCCGACCUGAGAGGGUGACCGGCCACAUUGGGACUGAGACACGGCCCAAACUCCUACGGGAGGCAGCAGUGGGGAAUAUUGCACAAUGGGGGAAACCCUGAUGCAGCGACGCCGCGUGAGCGAUGAAGUAUUUCGGUAUGUAAAGCUCUAUCAGCAGGGAAGAAAAUGACGGUACCUGACUAAGAAGCACCGGCUAAAUACGUGCCAGCAGCCGCGGUAAUACGUAUGGUGCAAGCGUUAUCCGGAUUUACUGGGUGUAAAGGGAGCGUAGACGGAGUGGCAAGUCUGAUGUGAAAACCCGGGGCUCAACCCCGGGACUGCAUUGGAAACUGUCAAUCUGGAGUACCGGAGAGGUAAGCGGAAUUCCUAGUGUAGCGGUGAAAUGCGUAGAUAUUAGGAGGAACACCAGUGGCGAAGGCGGCUUACUGGACGGUAACUGACGUUGAGGCUCGAAAGCGUGGGGAGCAAACAGGAUUAGAUACCCUGGUAGUCCACGCCGUANACGAUGACUACU
Molecule: ribosomal RNA, 755 nt
Filed under: uncultured bacterium
Lineage: Bacteria
Description: bacterial SSU rRNA
Rfam family: Bacterial small subunit ribosomal RNA
Source: RNAcentral